UAAAAAUGUAAAUAUUUAAUUCAAGUGAUUAAUAGUUAAGUUCUUUAAAGCUAAAUAAUUUGGCGGUAUUUUAUACUUUUCAGAGGAACCUGUACUUUGAUUGAUAAUCCACGAUAAAAGUAACUUAAUUUAGAAACUUUUAUAUCAUCGUUUUUAAAUAUUUUUUUAGAAUUUAAUAUUUAUAAUUUUUUAUUAAAAAAUAAAUCAGAUCAAGGUGAAGUUUAUAAUUAAGUAGAUAUGGGUUACAAUAUUUUUUAUUUUUGAAUAAUUUAUUUAAAUAUAUUUUUGAAAUUGGAUUUGUUAGUAAUUUUAAAAAUUUUUUUAAAAUGAUUAAGUACUGAAAUAUGC
RNAcentral lists this ribosomal RNA (348 nucleotides) under Cycloneda sanguinea. RNAcentral's name for it is "partial 12S ribosomal RNA". The record is from RNAcentral. Lineage: Eukaryota; Metazoa; Arthropoda; Insecta; Coleoptera; Coccinellidae.